GACGAACGCUGGCGGCGUGCUUAACACAUGCAAGUCGAACGAUGAAGUUCCUUCGGGAAUGGAUUAGUGGCGAACGGGUGAGAAACACGUGAGAAACCUGCCUUUCAUUUUGGGAUAACUCCGGGAAACCGGAGCUAACACCGAAUACUCCGUCUCGGCGGCAUCGCUGAGCCGGGACAAAAUUAUGAUGAAAGAUGGUCUCGCGGCCUAUCAGCUAGUUGGUGAGGUAAUGGCUCACCUAGGCGACGACGGGUAGCCGGCCUGAGAGGGCGACCGGCCACACUGGGACUGAGACACGGCCCAGACUCCUACGGGAGGCAGCAGUGGGGAAUAUUGGGCAAUGGGCGCAAGCCUGACCCAGCGACGCCGCGUGAGGGAUGAAGGCCUUCGGGUUGUAAACCUCUUUCAGUAGGGAAGAAGCGAAAGUGACGGUACCUAAAGAAGAAGCACCGGCUAACUAUGUGCCAGCCGCCGCCGUAA
RNAcentral lists this ribosomal RNA (480 nucleotides) under uncultured bacterium. RNAcentral's name for it is "partial 16S ribosomal RNA". It matches the Rfam family "Bacterial small subunit ribosomal RNA", at positions 28 to 523 of the family's 1533-position model. The record is from RNAcentral.